UACGUAGGUGGCAAGCGUUGUCCGGAUUUACUGGGCGUAAAGGAUGCGUAGGCGGACAUUUAAGUCAGAUGUGAAAUCCCCGAGCUUAACUUGGGUGCUGCAUUUGAAACUGGGUGUCUAGAGUGCAGGAGAGGUAAGUGGAAUUCCUAGUGUAGCGGUGAAAUGCGUAGAGAUUAGGAAGAACACCAGUGGCGAAGGCGACUUACUGGACUGUAACUGACGCUGAGGCAUGAAAGCGUGGGGAGCAAACAGA
This 253-nucleotide ribosomal RNA is filed under the name uncultured bacterium. Its description in RNAcentral is "partial 16S ribosomal RNA". It matches the Rfam family "Bacterial small subunit ribosomal RNA", at positions 524 to 776 of the family's 1533-position model. The record is from RNAcentral.